This 73-nucleotide transfer RNA is filed under the name Rhipicephalus microplus (southern cattle tick). RNAcentral's name for it is "tRNA-Val". It matches the Rfam family "tRNA". Rfam says of the family: Transfer RNA (tRNA) molecules are approximately 80 nucleotides in length. Lineage: Eukaryota; Metazoa; Arthropoda; Arachnida; Ixodida; Ixodidae. The record is from Rfam by way of RNAcentral.
GUGCUUGUGGUGUAGUGGUUAUCACAUCCGCCUAACACGCGGUAGGCUCCAGGUUUGAUCCCUGGCAGGCACA